Urocitellus parryii (Arctic ground squirrel) is the source of this 605-nucleotide long non-coding RNA. RefSeq lists it as uncharacterized. The record is from RefSeq and is a predicted model, not a curated record. NCBI's taxonomy places the organism in Eukaryota, Metazoa, Chordata, Mammalia, Rodentia, Sciuridae.
UUCACUAUGGACUUUGUGGAGGGCUACCGCGGCAGGCGCCUCGGGUCCGCAGAUUUAAGGACCCAGAACCCCGGCCCGCCAUGAGGACUGCGCAAACACGACAAAGCUGGAUGGCGGGCUUAAUAUAGAAUAUUGAAGGGAGCGGCCUGUCAUAAGGUUGCAUAUUAGCAGAAGGAACACCAGCAGCUGAGUUUUGGAGCCUGGAACAUUUGCCUUUUUGUGAGGUACUUAGUUUUAUCCAUUCUCAGGAUUUUGGAAUGGAGCCCUGAAGUGCAGAUUAUAGACCUGGUGGCAGCAACCUAAACUCUGGAGGCUGUAUCUCCCAGAGGAUGAUCAGUUCCGGGGAUCAGUAACCACCAUUGAUUUGGAUUCUGAAAAUCUAAACAGCUUCAACAUUUGGAAACAUGGUCACCUCGUGUGUCAGGCUGUUCACAAGAGAUCAUUCAGCAGGCCAGAUUGGUUUCAUUACCCCACCCAACAGGAAUUUCUGUACCUUUUAAUCAUUUUAUGUGUACACAUUGUUUGCCCUUGUAUUGGAAGGGUGAGAUCUUUAAGCCAAAAAUUGUUUCUCUUGAAUAUAAUGUCUAAUACCAUAAUAAACAAUG